Acanthochromis polyacanthus (spiny chromis) is the source of this 1975-nucleotide RNA transcript. It is a transcript of the gene named E3 ubiquitin/ISG15 ligase TRIM25-like, with no coding region annotated. The record is from RefSeq and is a predicted model, not a curated record. The transcript is spliced from 8 exons. NCBI's taxonomy places the organism in Eukaryota, Metazoa, Chordata, Actinopteri, Pomacentridae.
GGCACGCCCCUGUCCUUCUCUUCCUGUAAACAAAGCAGCAGUUGCUGUGGAGCGCUUCUGACAUUUUCCUGUGUUUUCGCCAUAUUUUGGACGAUGGCUCAAGCCGGCGUGGUCCUGGACAGGGACCAGUUUAACUGCUCCAUCUGCCUGGACGUGCUGAGGGACCCGGUGACCAUCCCGUGCGGACACAGUUACUGCUCGGUGUGUAUCCAGAACUACUGGGACCAGGACGACUACCUCGGAGCGUUCGUCUGCCCGCAGUGUCGCCAGAACUUCAACCCGAGGCCGCUGCUGGCCAGGAACACCAUGCUAGCCGACGUGGUGGAGAAGUUUAAAAAGACGGGUCUCCAGGAGGCCGCAGCGCCUCCCAAUCAAAGUUUCGCCGAAGCCGGUGACGUGGAGUGCGACGUGUGCACCGGGAGGAAGAACAAGGCUGUCCGCUCCUGUCUAGUGUGUCUGGCCUCCUACUGCGACCUUCACCUCCAGCCUCACUACGACUCCGCCGCAUUCAAGAAGCACAAGCUGGUGGCGGCCUCCAAGCGGCUCCAGGACAACAUCUGCCCCCGACACGACAAGCUGCUGGAGGUGUACUGCCGCAGCGACAGACGCUGCAUCUGCUACCUGUGUCUGACCGACGAACACAAGGGCCACGACACGGUGCUGGUGGAGGAAGAAAUCCAGCAGAAACAGAAGCAGCUCAAAGACAUGAAGCAGAGCUCCCUGCUGAGGAUUCAGCAACGAGAAAAGGAGGCGCAGGAGCUGAGACAAGGCAUUUUCUCUCUCAUCCGUUCGGCUCGAGCAGCAGCUGAGGAGAGCGACGCCGUCUUUACUGAACUGAUUCGGUCGAUAGAGGUGAAGCGUUUCGAGGUGAGAGAGCUGAUCAAAGCCCAGGAGAAGACGGCCGUUGGUGAGGCUGAGCAGCUGCUGGACAAGAUCCAGAAGGAGAUCGCUGAGCUGAAGAAGAACGAGGCUGAACUAGACAAACUUUCCAACAGUGAUGACCCUGUGCAUUUCCUUCAGACCUGCCAGUCCCUCCAUGCUCCAGAUGUACUGUCGGCUUCACCUUCAGUCACCGCUGACCCCAACCUCACCUUCGGCCCGGUGAUGACAGCUGUGUCAGAUUUUAAGGGACUGCUGCAGGAGGUCUGUCAGGGAGGGUUUGUCAGCAUUUAUGAAAGAGUGAGAGACGUAGUAAUUGUAAGUCCCCAGAGUCCUGUGGUUCAGCUCGACACAGCACAGUCUGGAGACUCUGGGUCAGCCCAACAAAUGCAAGCACAGAUAUUAAUCCCUCCGCUUGGUCUGGACCAAAAUCCUGUGAGCCCCCUCAACCCGUUCCUCACUUCAGGACCUGCUGCGUUUACCUUCUCACCAUUUGAUUAAAUAUGGCUCUGUUGAAUGAAGAAAGAAUUGAACUGAUUCUUCUCAGUGGAUGUGAAGGAUGGACAUAUCAGGCUCCAAACUCUCCACAGGAUCCAGACAGCGGCACCUUCAGCGACGUGCUCACCCCAGGAAGAAAUAGACUUCUGGUGGACAUGUGUUCACAAAUCCACACUGCCACUCACGGGUGGACAUUUAAAAUAAUUCAUCUUCUGCUACUUGAAUCUGGUUACGGUGCAGGCGGGAAAACACUAGCAAAGUGCCACUGAAGACCACACAGACAAUGCAUUCACUUUAUGUUUUAAGUAUUAUUAAGUAUUAGGCAGCAGGACUGACUCACCACAGCUUACUUCAGUAAGUGUCAGUAUGUUACUGUCAUUUAGUCAAGUUUUAGUUUUUAUGAAAAUUGGAUUUUAUAAAUUUUUUUUUUCCAUUUUUAACCAAAACUCUGUCAACAAUCAUUUGCUUCGAAGACAGAAUGUAAUGUGUGAAAUGCUGACAUUAAAAAGCAACAUGACUGUUCUAUGUACGGAUAUACUGUUGGAUAAAAGAAAAUCUAAUAAAUUAUAAGCAUCAAAAAAAAAGCAACAUGACUGGA